AGGGUGGGUCACGCGCAGACAUGGGUCUUGGGGUAUAACACAUGUGCAGUGUAACUGAAGCUGCGCAGUGCGUUGCUAUUGGCUCAAUUUUGGCGAGUGCAGACCAGAUUUUACAGCGCAUGUGUUGUACACCAAAGACAUGACGCGGUGAUGAAGCGUGACCCAGCCCACUUCAC
Molecule: long non-coding RNA, 176 nt
Organism: Sebastes umbrosus (honeycomb rockfish)
Lineage: Eukaryota; Metazoa; Chordata; Actinopteri; Perciformes; Sebastidae
Exons: 3
Source: RefSeq, a predicted model, not a curated record